AUGGUUAAGUUAGAAAGGGCGCACGGUGAAUGCCUUGGCACUAGGAGCCGAUGAAGGACGGGACUAACACCGAUAUGCUUCGGGGAGCUGUAAGUGAGCUUUGAUCCGGAGAUUUCCGAAUGGGGAAACCCACUGUUCGUAAUGGAACAGUAUCUUUAUCUGAAUACAUAGGAUAUUGAAGGCAGACCCGGGGAACUGAAACAUCUAAGUACCCGGAGGAAGAGAAAGCAAAUGCGAUUUCCUGAGUAGCGGCGAGCGAAACGGAAUUAGCCCAAACCAAGAGGCUUGCCUCUUGGGGUUGUAGGACACUCUAUACGGAGUUACAAAGGAACGAAGUAAAUGAAGCGACCUGGAAAGGUCCGUCGAAGAAGGUAACAACCCUGUAGUUGAAACUUCGUUCCCUCUUGAGUGGAUCCUGAGUACGGCGGAACACGUGAAAUUCCGUCGGAAGCUGGGAGGACCAUCUCCCAAGGCUAAAUACUACCUAGUGACCGAUAGUGAACCAGUACCGUGAGGGAAAGGUGAAAAGCACCCCGGAAGGGGAGUGAAAGAGAUCCUGAAACCGUGUGCCUACAAGUAGUCAGAGCCCGUUAAUGGGUGAUGGCGUGCCUUUUGUAGAAUGAACCGGCGAGUUACGAUCCCAUGCAAGGUUAAGCUGAUAAGGCGGAGCCGUAGCGAAAGCGAGUCUGAAUAGGGCGUUUAGUAUGUGGUUGUAGACCCGAAACCAGGUGAUCUACCCAUGUCCAGGGUGAAGUUCAGGUAACACUGAAUGGAGGCCCGAACCCACGCACGUUGAAAAGUGCGGGGAUGAGGUGUGGGUAGCGGAGAAAUUCCAAUCGAACCUGGAGAUAGCUGGUUCUCUCCGAAAUAGCUUUAGGGCUAGCCUCAUGUUGUGAGAGUCUUGGAGGUAGAGCACUGAUUGGACUAGGGGCCCCCAACGGGUUACCGAAUUCAGUCAAACUCCGAAUGCCAAAGACUUAUCCAUGGGAGUCAGACUGCGAGUGAUAAGAUCCGUAGUCAAAAGGGAAACAGCCCAGACCACCAGCUAAGGUCCCCAAGUAUACGUUAAGUGGAAAAGGAUGUGGAGUUGCUUAGACAACCAGGAUGUUGGCUUAGAAGCAGCCACCAUUUAAAGAGUGCGUAAUAGCUCACUGGUCGAGUGACUCUGCGCCGAAAAUGUACCGGGGCUAAACGUAUCACCGAAGCUGUGGAUUGACAUCUUAGAUGUCAGUGGUAGGAGAGCGUUCUAAGUGCAGCGAAGUCAGACCGUAAGGACUGGUGGAGCGCUUAGAAGUGAGAAUGCCGGUAUGAGUAGCGAAAGACAAGUGAGAAUCUUGUCCACCGAAUGCCUAAGGUUUCCUGAGGAAGGCUCGUCCGCUCAGGGUUAGUCGGGACCUAAGCCGAGGCUGAAAAGCGUAGGCGAUGGCCAACAGGUUGAUAUUCCUGUACCACCUCCCCGCCGUUUGAGUAAUGGGGGGACGCAGUAGGAUAGGGUAAGCGCGCUGCUGGAUAUGCGCGUUCAAGCAGUUAGGCUGAUGAGUAGGCAAAUCCGCUCAUCAUAAAGGCUGAGCUGUGAUGACGAGGGAAUUAUAGUACCGAAGUUCCUGAUUCCACACUGCCAAGAAAAGCCUCUAGCGAGGCGGGAGGUGCCCGUACCGCAAACCGACACAGGUAGGCGAGGAGAGAAUCCUAAGGUGAUCGAGAGAACUCUCGUUAAGGAACUCGGCAAAAUGACCCCGUAACUUCGGGAGAAGGGGUGCUCUGGUAGGGUGUAUAGCCCGAGAGAGCCGCAGUGAAUAGGCCCAGGCGACUGUUUAGCAAAAACACAGGUCUCUGCGAAGCCGCAAGGCGAAGUAUAGGGGCUGACGCCUGCCCGGUGCUGGAAGGUUAAGAGGAGGGGUUAUCCUUUGGGAGAAGCUCUGAAUCGAAGCCCCAGUAAACGGCGGCCGUAACUAUAACGGUCCUAAGGUAGCGAAAUUCCUUGUCGGGUAAGUUCCGACCCGCACGAAAGGCGUAACGAUCUGGGCACUGUCUCAACGAGAGACUCGGUGAAAUUAUAGUACCUGUGAAGAUGCAGGUUACCCGCGACAGGACGGAAAGACCCCGUGGAGCUUUACUGUAGCCUGAUAUUGAAUUUUGGUACAGCUUGUACAGGAUAGGUAGGAGCCUGAGAAGCCGGAGCGCUAGCUUCGGUGGAGGCGUCGGUGGGAUACUACCCUGGCUGUAUUGAAAUUCUAACCCGCGGCCCUGAUCGGGCCGGGAGACAGUGUCAGGUGGGCAGUUUGACUGGGGCGGUCGCCUCCUAAAAUGUAACGGAGGCGCCCAAAGGUUCCCUCAGAAUGGUUGGAAAUCAUUCGUAGAGUGUAAAGGCACAAGGGAGCUUGACUGCGAGACCUACAAGUCGAGCAGGGACGAAAGUCGGGCUUAGUGAUCCGGUGGUUCCGCAUGGAAGGGCCAUCGCUCAACGGAUAAAAGCUACCCCGGGGAUAACAGGCUUAUCUCCCCCAAGAGUCCACAUCGACGGGGAGGUUUGGCACCUCGAUGUCGGCUCAUCGCAUCCUGGGGCUGUAGUCGGUCCCAAGGGUUGGGCUGUUCGCCCAUUAAAGCGGUACGCGAGCUGGGUUCAGAACGUCGUGAGACAGUUCGGUCCCUAUCCGUCGUGGGCGUAGGAAAUUUGAGAGGAGCUGUCCUUAGUACGAGAGGACCGGGAUGGACACACCGCUGGUGUACCAGUUGUCUUGCCAAAGGCAUCGCUGGGUAGCUAUGUGUGGACGGGAUAAGUGCUGAAAGCAUCUAAGCAUGAAGCCCCCCUCAAGAUGAGAUUUCCCAUAGCGCAAGCUAGUAAGAUCCCUGAAAGAUGAUCAGGUUGAUAGGUCAGAGGUGGAAGCGUGGCGACAUGUGUAGCUGACUGAUACUAAUCGAUCGAGGACUUAACCAAAC
Molecule: ribosomal RNA, 2940 nt
Filed under: Priestia megaterium
Lineage: Bacteria; Bacillati; Bacillota; Bacilli; Caryophanales; Bacillaceae
Description: bacterial LSU rRNA
Rfam family: Bacterial large subunit ribosomal RNA
Source: RNAcentral